Long non-coding RNA from Oncorhynchus keta (chum salmon), 960 nucleotides. RefSeq lists it as uncharacterized. Lineage: Eukaryota; Metazoa; Chordata; Actinopteri; Salmoniformes; Salmonidae. The record is from RefSeq and is a predicted model, not a curated record. The transcript is spliced from 3 exons.
GAUGCUAGUCACGUUGGGGCAGGUGGGUGCGAGUCACGUUGGGGCAGGUGAAUGCUAGUCACGUUGGGGCAGGUGGAUGCGAGUCACGUUGGGGCAGGUGGAUGCGAGUCACGUUGGGGCAGGUGAAUGCUAGUCACGUUGGGGCAGGUGGAUGCUAGUCACGUUGGGGCAGGUGGAUGCGAGUCACGUUGGGGCAGGUGGAUGCGAGUCACGUUGGGGCAGGUGGAUGCUAGUCACGUUGGGGCAGGUGGAUGCUAGUCACGUUGGGGCAGGUGGAUGCUAGUCACGUUGGGGCAGGUGGAUGCUAGUCACGUUGGGGCAGGUGGAUGCUAGUCACGUUGGGGCAGGUGGAUGCGAGUCACGUUGGGGCAGGUGGAUGGGAGUCACGUUGGGGCAGGUGGAUGCUAGUCACGUUGGGGCAGGUGGAUGCUAGUCACGUUGGGGCAGGUGGAUGGGAGUCACGUUGGGGCAGGUGGAUGGGAGUCACGUUGGGGCAGGUGGAUUCGAGUCACGUUGGGGCAGGUGGAUGGGAGUCACGUUGGGGCAGGUGGAUGCUAGUCACGUUGGGGCAGGUGGAUGCUAGUCACGUUGGGGCAGGUGGAUGCUAGUCACGUUGGGGCAGGUGGAUGGGAGUCACGUUGGGGCAGGUGGAUGCUAGUCACGUUGGGGCAGGUGGAUGCUAGUCACGUUGGGGCAGGUGGAUGGGAGUCACGUUGGGGCAGGUGGAUGCUAGUCACGUUGGGGCAGGUGGAUGCUAGUCACGUUGGGGCAGGUGGAUGCUAGUCACGUUGGGGCAGGUGGAUGCUAGUCACGUUGGGGCAGGUGGAUGCUAGUCACGUUGGGGCAGGUGGAUGCUAGUCACGUUGGGGCAGGUGGAUGCUAGUCACGUUGGGGCAGGUGGAUGCUAGUCACGUUGGGGCAGGUGGAUGCGAGUCACAUUGGGGCAGGUGGAUGCUAGUC